GUCGAACGGCAGCACGGAGCUUGCUCUGGUGGCGAGUGGCGAACGGGUGAGUAAUAUAUCGGAACGAACCCUAGAGUGGGGGAUAACGUAGCGAAAGUUACGCUAAUACCGCAUACGAUCUAAGGAUGAAAGUGGGGGAUCGCAAGACCUCAUGCUCGUGGAGCGGCCGAUAUCUGAUUAGCUAGUUGGUAGGGUAAAAGCCUACCAAGGCAUCGAUCAGUAGUUGGUCUGAGAGGACGACCAGCCACACUGGAACUGAGACACGGUCCAGACUCCUACGGGAGGCAGCAGUGGGGAAUUUUGGACAAUGGGCGAAAGCCUGAUCCAGCAAUGCCGCGUGAGUGAAGAAGGCCUUCGGGUUGUAAAGCUCUUUUGUCAGGGAAGAAACGGUGAGAGCUAAUAUCUCUUGCUAAUGACGGUACCUGAAGAAUAAGCACCGGCUAACUACGUGCCAGCAGCCGCGGUAAUACGUAGGGUGCAAGCGUUAAUCGGAAUUACUGGGCGUAAAGCGUGCGCAGGCGGUUUUGUAAGUCCGAUGUGAAAUCCCCGGGCUCAACCUGGGAAUUGCAUUGGAGACUGCAAGGCUAGAAUCUGGCAGAGGGGGGUAGAAUUCCACGUGUAGCAGUGAAAUGCGUAGAUAUGUGGAGGAACACCGAUGGCGAAGGCAGCCCCUGGGUCAAGAUUGACGCUCAUGCACGAAAGCGUGGGGAGCAAACAGGAUUAGAUACCCUGGUAGUCCACGCCCUAAACGAUGUCUACUAGUUGUCGGGUCUUAAUUGACUUGGUAACGCAGCUAACGCGUGAAGUAGACCGCCUGGGGAGUACGGUCGCAAGAUUAAAACUCAAAGGAAUUGAC
This 856-nucleotide ribosomal RNA is filed under the name uncultured bacterium. RNAcentral describes it as "bacterial SSU rRNA". It matches the Rfam family "Bacterial small subunit ribosomal RNA", at positions 61 to 914 of the family's 1533-position model. The record is from RNAcentral.